UGGGAUCUCAUAUCUAAGAGUUCUUAGGUAGAAAUCAUACGGGUAGAGAUUAGGAGAAAAAGACUGUAACUUGUGGAGUGUACUGAGAGUCUUUGAACUGAUUCUAUUUAGUGGAUUUCCUUCCUAGCUUGAUAGCCCCCAGACGUAGGUGAGUUGCACCGAAGUAGGUUAACAAUUGCUUGUGUCUCUUGCAUUACUAUUCUUUAUCUUUAUCCUGUUAGUUUUACUCAGAUAUUAGUGUCGUGGCAUUACCUUCGAC
Molecule: long non-coding RNA, 259 nt
Filed under: Lathyrus oleraceus (garden pea)
Lineage: Eukaryota; Viridiplantae; Streptophyta; Magnoliopsida; Fabales; Fabaceae
Description: Pisum sativum (pea) long non-coding RNA (PSAT_LNC012767)
Source: RNAcentral